AGUGAACGCUGGCGGUAGGCCUAACACAUGCAAGUCGAACGGCAGCACAGAGGAGCUUGCUCCUUGGGUGGCGAGUGGCGGACGGGUGAGGAAUACAUCGGAAUCUACUCUGUCGUGGGGGAUAACGUAGGGAAACUUACGCUAAUACCGCAUACGACCUACGGGUGAAGGCAGGGGAUCUUCGGACCUUGCGCGAUUGAAUGAGCCGAUGUCGGAUUAGCUAGUUGGCGGGGUAAAGGCCCACCAAGGCGACGAUCCGUAGCUGGUCUGAGAGGAUGAGCAGCCACACGGGAACUGAGACACAGUCCAGACUCCUACGGGAGGCAGCAGUGGGGAAUAUUGGACAAUGGGCGCAAGCCUGAUCCAGCCAUACCGCGUGGGUGAAGAAGGCCUUCGGGUUGUAAAGCCCUUUUGUUGGGAAAGAAAUCCAUCUGGUUAAUACCCGGGUGGGAUGACGGUACCCAAAGAAUAAGCACCGGCUAACUUCGUGCCAGCCGCCGCAGUAA
Molecule: ribosomal RNA, 506 nt
Filed under: uncultured bacterium
Lineage: Bacteria
Description: partial 16S ribosomal RNA
Rfam family: Bacterial small subunit ribosomal RNA
Source: RNAcentral